CUAGUAUCGCGAGAUCAGGAAGGUGGCCGAGUGUGUCGCCGCGGCCAUCAGGCACUUCUCCUUCCUGCCCUUGUAUGAAGAAGGAUGUGUUUGCUUCCCCUUGUGCCAUGAUUGUAAAUUUCCUGAGGCCUCCUCAGCCCUGCAGAACUGGCUAGAGCAAUGUAUCUUAGGCUCACUUAAGGAAGCUGUAGAGAUGAGCCCAAGGAGGGAAACCAGAAGAGCCCCCCAGGCUCACCAGUUGUUUGUUGGCUCCCUACAAACAUGUCAUUCAAGUGGCUAAUCUUACAACAGCACAAAUUCAUCUAACCAGAGAUACUCUAUUAUAGCAAAGAAGAAAGAUAAUUUCAUUGAGCCAUCCUGUUUUACAGGAUUUUCCCUCCUGGUGAGUCAAAAUGAACAAGAAAUACCCCAGGACCUCCCUUCCCUCCUUGGCCAUUAAUGAGAUGAAGGCAAUUAACUCACAUAGUAUAAAUGAAUCAUUUGAGGUGAUGACUGCAUUUUAGGCAAAUGAUGACUUUCUUGGUUCCAUUGGUUUGCAAGUAAAAGUUACACACAUUGAAAAGACACUGAAACAGAUUUCCUAAAUGCUUCAUUUUCUGGAUGCACCAAUGUUGACCUACUAUACAUGUUAAAUGGUUUUAAAAUAUCACCUUAAAAUAAAGGAAACUUCCAGCUACUAACUCAGCUCUGAAUGGGCUAUGAAAGGCUCCAAAGGUAUGUGAAAAAUUACUGUUAUUUUGCUUUAAAAAAUGUGAUGUCUAAGAGUGUCUGCAAUGUUCUAAUGCUUCAAAACAUGUACGUAAGCCUUGUUUAUCUGGAAAUCAUUUCUUUCUGCUUAUAUCAUUUAUAAAUAGAAAAUGUUCUGUAAUAACUUAAAAUAGUUCCACAUACAUAAUGCUUUUAGUGUCAUAAUACUUACUACUGGUCUAUAUUUACCAACAUUUAUCACAUUUUACAAAAUGAAGUAGAAGAAAAAAAAGACAACGACUUUAUGGCCCUGGAAUUCCAGUAAUGGUGACCAACAUGUUUUAAAUUCCAGUAAAGGUUAUGGUUACAUUUCAACAAGUGUCUCUUUCCUUUUUUUUACCUCUCCUGCUAACCCAGAGGUAAAUUUCCCAAAAA
RNAcentral lists this long non-coding RNA (1122 nucleotides) under Homo sapiens (human). RNAcentral's name for it is "BDNF antisense RNA". The record is from RNAcentral. Lineage: Eukaryota; Metazoa; Chordata; Mammalia; Primates; Hominidae.